RNAcentral lists this ribosomal RNA (449 nucleotides) under Pimelia xauenensis. RNAcentral describes it as "partial large subunit ribosomal RNA". The stretch from base 325 to 449 matches the Rfam family "Bacterial large subunit ribosomal RNA", at positions 2473 to 2597 of the family's 2925-position model. The record is from RNAcentral. Lineage: Eukaryota; Metazoa; Arthropoda; Insecta; Coleoptera; Tenebrionidae.
UUUUGACUGUGCAAAGGUAGCAUAAUCAUUAGUUUUUUGAUUGAAAGCUGGAAUGAAAGGUUUGAUGAGAAAAUAACUGUCUCUAUGUGAAUGUAUUAGAAUUUCAAUUUUAAGUGAAAAAGCUUAAAUUUUUUAUAAAGACGAGAAGACCCUAUAGAGUUUUAUAAUUGAUUAAAUAUAAAAGUUAUUGAAUUUAUUUUUUUAUUUUUAUUUAAUUAUUUUGUUGGGGCGAUGGAAAAAUUUGAAAAACUUUUUUUUGUUUGUAACAUUGAUUUAUGAUUAUUUGAUCCUUUUUUUUGGAUUACAAGAUUAAAUUACCUUAGGGAUAACAGCGUAAUUUUUUUUGGAGAGUUCUUAUCGAUAAAAAAGUUUGCGACCUCGAUGUUGGAUUAAAAUUAAAUUUUGGUGUAGAAGCUAAAAUUUUAGGUCUGUUCGACCUUUGAAAUUUU